RNAcentral lists this transfer RNA (101 nucleotides) under Myriangium duriaei CBS 260.36. RNAcentral's name for it is "tRNA-Phe". It matches the Rfam family "tRNA". Rfam says of the family: Transfer RNA (tRNA) molecules are approximately 80 nucleotides in length. Their secondary structure includes four short double-helical elements and three loops (D, anti-codon, and T loops). Lineage: Eukaryota; Fungi; Ascomycota; Dothideomycetes; Myriangiales; Myriangiaceae. The record is from RNAcentral.
GUCGCUUUAGCUCACUUGGGAGAGCGCCAGACUGAAGAUUACUUCGGUCCAACGCACUGUGCGGUAUCUGGAGGUACUGUGUUCGAUCCACAGAAGCGACA